CUUGUACUCCCUCCGUCCGAAAAUACUUGUCAUUGAAAUGGAUGUAUCUAGAUGUAUUUUAGUUCUAGACACAUCCAUUUUGAUAACAAGUAAUUUCGGACGGAGGUAGUACUUG
Triticum aestivum (bread wheat) is the source of this 115-nucleotide non-coding RNA. The record is from Rfam. NCBI's taxonomy places the organism in Eukaryota, Viridiplantae, Streptophyta, Magnoliopsida, Poales, Poaceae.